RNAcentral lists this ribosomal RNA (253 nucleotides) under uncultured bacterium. RNAcentral's name for it is "partial 16S ribosomal RNA". It matches the Rfam family "Bacterial small subunit ribosomal RNA", at positions 524 to 776 of the family's 1533-position model. The record is from RNAcentral.
UACAGAGGUCUCAAGCGUUGUUCGGAAUCACUGGGCGUAAAGGGUGCGUAGGCCGCACGGUAAGUCAGAGGUGAAAUCCCGGGGCUCAACCUCGGAAUUGCCUCCGAUACUGCCGUGCUUGAGGACUGGAGAGGAGAUUGGAAUUCACAGUGGAGCAGUGAAAUGCGUAGAUAUUGUGAGGAACACUAGUGGCGAAGGCGAAUCUCUGGACAGUUCCUGACGCUGAGGCACGAAGGCCAGGGGAGCAAACGGG